UCGACUUGAGUAUAACAUUUCAAAUACUCAGUCUUCUUCUAAUUAGUGAAAAUUGCCUCCAAAUUAGAAGAAAUCAUCUGAUUUCGUCAGUCCCAUUCUGCUGUGUUCGCCAUCGUUCAGCACAGAGAGAGUGAAAAAGAAUUGAGCCUCUUUCCCAUGGGAAAAGGGCUGUAUUUGUCUGGAUUCAGAGAGAACAUCGCGGCAAAGAGUGACAUCACGUGGCCCAAAGGAUGUGUGGCCAUUGUUGUGCAUCCAAAGAGUGAAAGAGAGUGGAGCGUCUUUCCAGUGCGAAAAGGAAUGACUUCCUUUUGCUGAUUACGAAAGAAUUUGCGGUAAAGAGCGACAUCAUGUGGCCAUCAGAGGAGUGGAAACAUUGAGGAAUGAAAAACAAAGACAUUUUGGAAAGAAUAAAUAAAAAUUACUCACUUUGGCUGAGAGAU
RNAcentral lists this long non-coding RNA (440 nucleotides) under Homo sapiens (human). RNAcentral describes it as "long non-coding RNA NONHSAT204764.1". The record is from RNAcentral. Lineage: Eukaryota; Metazoa; Chordata; Mammalia; Primates; Hominidae.